UUUUCGCAAUGCCCGAAAGGGUGACGAAGCGACGCCGCGUGGGUGAGGAAGGCCUUCGGGUUGUAAAGCCCUGUCAGGAGUUAAGAAAUGUAAGUGCGCUAAUAUCGCAUUUAUUUGACGAAGGCUCCAAAGGAAGUCACGGCUAACUCUGUGCCAGCAGCCGCGGUAAUACAGAGGUGGCAAGCGUUGUUCGGAAUUAUUGGGCGUAAAGAGCACGUAGGUGGGUUUGUAAGUCAGAUGUGAAAGCCUUCUGUUCAACGGAAGAAUUGCAUCUGAAACUGCGAGUCUUGAGUGUAGGGGGGGAGAAUGGAACUUCUGGUGGAGCGGUGAAAUGCGUAGAUAUCAGAAGGAACGCCGGCGGCGAAAGCGAUUCUCUGGCCUAUUACUGACACUCAGUGUGCGAAAGCUAGGGGAGCAAACGGGAUUAGAUACCCCGGUAGUCCUAGCCGUAAACGAUGGGCACUAAGUAGAGGGGUUUUA
RNAcentral lists this ribosomal RNA (480 nucleotides) under uncultured anaerobic ammonium-oxidizing bacterium. RNAcentral's name for it is "bacterial SSU rRNA". It matches the Rfam family "Bacterial small subunit ribosomal RNA", at positions 363 to 833 of the family's 1533-position model. The record is from RNAcentral.